This 4298-nucleotide long non-coding RNA is filed under the name Salmo salar (Atlantic salmon). Its description in RNAcentral is "lncRNA (ENSSSAG00000104412.1)". The stretch from base 1740 to 1793 matches the Rfam family "UnaL2 LINE 3' element". Lineage: Eukaryota; Metazoa; Chordata; Actinopteri; Salmoniformes; Salmonidae. The record is from RNAcentral.
UGUCAGCAGUGCAGAAGUGAGUCCUACUUUUGACCAGGGAAGAGGAACAGAAAUUGAGGGAAGGGCUCUGGCUGUUCAUGGUUGAGUUGUUAUAUAAUAGCUGUUUCUAUAUAAUGAGAGAUCAGAACAGAACAGAACUCACACACAGAACCAGACCAGAGCAUCAGAGACCAUCUCAGACAAUACAAUCUUCAGCAUCUCAACCAUCUCUGAACCAUGAAGACCCUGACUGCUCUACUCCUCCUGGGACUGCUCUGCUCCCUCCAUACAACAUCUGCAGGUCAAGUGGCAGAUUCAUGAUCUAUCAUCUGGGACUGGCAGAGACUGCUGUUUAAAGUCCUACACCACCAGGAUGCCUGUCUCUCUCUGGUGGUAUCUGCUGUUUAAAGUCCUACACCACCAGGAUGCCUGUGUCUUUCUGGUGGAUUCUGCUGUUUAAAGUCCUACACCACCAGGAUGCCUGUCUCUCUCUGGUGGAUUCUGCUGUUUAAAGUCCUACACCACCAGGAUGCCUCUCUCUCUGGUGGUUUCUGCUGUUUAAAGUCCUACACCACCAGGAAGCCUCUCUCUCUGGUGGUUUCUGCUGUUUAAAGUCCUACACCACCAGGAUGCCUCUCUCUCUGGUGGUUUCUGCAGUUUAAAGUCCUACACCAUCAGGAAGCCUCUCUCUCUGGUGGAUUCUGCUGUUUAAAGUCCUACACCACCAGGAUGCCUGUCUCUCUCUGGUGGUUUCUGCUGUUUAAAAUCCUACACCACCAGGAAGCCUCUCUCUCUGGUGGUUUCUGCUGUUUAAAGUCCUACACCACCAGGAUGCCUCUCUCUGUUGGUUUCUGCUGUUUAAAGUCCUACACCACCAGGAAGCCUCUCUCUAUGGUGGUUUCUGCUGUUUAAAGUCCUACACCACCAGGAAGCCUCUCUCUCUGGUUGUUUCUGCUGUUUAAAGUCCUACACCACCAGGAAACCUCUCUCUGGUAGUUUCUGCUGUUUAAAGUACUACACCACCAGGAAGCCUGUCUCUCUCUGGUGGUUUCUGCUGUUUAAAGUCCUACAACACCAGGAUGCCUGUCUCUCUCUGGUGGCUUCUGCUGUUUAAAGUCCUACACCACCAGGAAGCCUCUCUCUCUGGUGGUUUCUGCUGUUUUAAGUCCUACACCAUCAGAAUGCCUCUCCCUGGUGGUUUCUACUGUUUAAUGUCCUACACCACCAAGAAGCCUCUCUCUCUGGUGGUUUCUGCUGUUUAAAGUCCUACACCACCAGGAAUCCUCUUUCUCUGGUGGUUUCUGUCACAACGACCCCCAGCAGCUGCCCUCGUAAAGCUCUGCUGUAAGUAGCAUACAAUGUACAUGGACUAUAUACUCAAAACAACAAGAUGGACUGCUUUCUGAAUUGACCGAGUGACACCAAAACAUCACAUUCAUCAGUAAUAAUGUCCUCAAUCAGCUUUCUGAAUUGACCUGGAGACACCAAAACAUCACAUUUAAAGAACCCUUUGAAGAUUGUUCCACAAAUAAAGUGUAGGAAAACUAAAAGCUGAUUCACCAAACUCCGUUGAGACCAAAUGAAUUUCCAGAGUUUCCCAUCCCUGAGACUGGGUGUGGUGACUCAUGUCUAAAUGUAGUAAAGAUAUUAAGUAGCCUUCCCUGUAGCUCAGUUGGUAGAGCAUGGUGUUUGCAAUGCCAGGGGUUGUGGGUUCGAUUCCCACGGGGGGCCAGCACAGGAAAAUAAUUCUAUGAAAUGUAUGCUUUCACUAAUGUAAGUCGCUCUGGAUAAGAGCGUCUGCUAAAUGACUAAAAUGUAAGUACAGUGGCCAUUUUUGUAUAAGUGCUUUUUGAAUGAAAACACAGCAAUGUAUCAACCUACGUGAUAUCAAAGACGGCCAACCAACUUUACAGUAGAGAAUGCAGUGAUGAGUACUAAAACUAUCACCCGUAAUAAACCACAGUGCGCUAUGAUAAACUGCAUCUAAAAGCUUUAAUGAAGUGGCAGCUGCGUUAGUAUACAUGAUGUUGCCAUAGUUUCGGACUGAUAGGAACGUCGACUGAAUGAUAUGCUUUCUACUAUUUAGCGAGAGGCAGGACCUGUUUCUAUAGAAGACCAUUUUAACUCUCAGCUUCUCAGCUAACUCAUCAAUAUGCUUUAUAAAAGACAGCUUUUCAUCUAUCCAGAUGCCCAGAUAUUUGUAAGCAGGGACACGAUCAAUAUGAAAAACCAUCCAACGUUCAUAUGCUGAAAUCAUCUUAUUUGUUUUUAUGUGCUCUAGAGAACAAUAUGCACUUAGUUUUAUCUGCAUUCAACACUAAUUUCAGGUCAAUUAAGUUUUUCUGUAAUACAAUGAAGACAGACUGUAGUUCAGAUAGAGACUGGUCAACGUUGGGGGUAAUAGCAGACACAACAAUAUCAUAAUACAAUGAAGACAGACUGUAUUUCAGAUAGAGCCUGGUCAACGUUGGGGGUAAUAGCAGACACAACAGUAUCAUAAUACAAUGAAGACAGACUGUAUUUCAGAUAGAGCCUGGUCAACGUUGGGGGUAAUAGCAGACACAACAGUAUCAUAAUACAAUGAAGACAGACUGUAGUUCAGAUAGAGACUGGUCAACGUUGGGGUCAAUAGCAGACACAACAGUAUCAUAAUACAAUGAAGACAGACUGUAGUUCAGAUAGAGACUAGUCAACGUUGGGGUCAAUAGCAGACACGACAGUAUCAACAGCAUACAAGUGUAGGUUACAGUUUGUUUAUAAGACAAGUCGAUAUUGUCAAUUCAAACAGUCAAAAGUACAGGACCCAGAAUCGACCCCUGCGGGACAUCUUUCUUAAUAUCCAGGAAACCUGAUUUAACAUCAUCAGUAGAUACACGUUGAGCUUUAUCUGUCAAGUAAUUGUUUAAACCAGUUACAUGCAGCCUGAUCUAGGCCAACUGAGGAAAUUAGCAGUGAGUGAUCAACAGUAUAAAAUAUUCUACUAAUCUAUACUAGCCUGUUUAUAUUGAUUAAUCGUUACAUGAAAUUAACCAAAAUGUGAAAUCAUACACGAACCAAUGUUAUUUUAUAAACUGAACUCUGAAAUAAAAAUCAUUUUGAGGAUCUUUCUAUUCUAUGCAGAGUGAUUGUAGUAAGUAACAUAGCCUACAUGUUGUUGAUUCAAGUAUUAUGCUGUUAAAGGGGCAGUACGGUGAAAAACGUGAAUGUCCUAUUUAUUUUUAAAUGAUAUUUCCACUCUAUGAGGUCAAAAUAACACUCUGAAAUUGUGAACAUUACGAUAAUGCCUUUUUAGUGUAAUCUUUUUGGAGAGAAAAAAAUAAAAUCGCCUGGAAUUUCAUUCUGUUCAGGCGGGAUGGAGUUAUUGGCCCACAGCAUGACAUCACAAUCUGAUUAUUAUGACCAAUGACCAGUCAUAUUUUAUUUACAUAUGUAUCCUCCUAACUUGAAGGGGUAAGCAUGGUAGGCUCUAGACUAGAGUCUAGAGGAUCCUAUUCUCCAGUAUAUUAACAUAUGUAUCCUCCUAACUUGAAGGGGUAAGCAUGGUAGGCUCUAGACUAGAGUCUAGAGGAUCCUAUUCUCCAGUAUAUUAACAAAUGUAUCCUCCUAACUUGAAGGGGUAAGCAUGGUAGGCUCUAGACUAGAGUCUAGAGGAUCCUAUUCUCCAGUAUAUUAACAUAUGUAUCGGCAGAGCCACACAAUCAGAUUGUUGCAUUUCAACGGCAAAAUAAAUCUCAGGAAAAUAAAUGAUAAAUAAAAAAUAUAUGAAAUAAACACACAAUGAUAUAUUAGACAAAGCUUUUUAAACAUUUAAUUAAAAAGACUGCAUGGGGGCUUUAUUGAAGACCUUUGGAUGGGAAGGCUUCUGAGAACAGUUUAACCAUAGGCCUAUUGACUGAUAGAUAGAAAUACCCAGAGCCUUACUGUAACGCCCUGGCCAUAGAGAGGGGUUUUUGUUCUUUAUUUUGGUUAGGCCAGGGUGUUACAUUGGGUGGGCGUUCUAUGUUCCUUUCUCUAUGUUUUUGUAUUUCUUUGUUUUGGGCAGUGUCUGGCUCCCAAUCAGGCACAGCUGAAGCUCGUUGUUGCUGAUUGGGAGUCACACAUAAGGAGCAUGUUUUUCCUUUGGGUUUUGUGGGUAAUUGUUUCUGUUCAGUGUGUUUCCUGUCAGUACUGUUUGGCUGUCGGUUUUCCUGUUUUUUUGUACAGUGUUCUCUUUGUUUGAAUUAAAUGUCAAGAUGAACACUAACUCCGCUGCACCUUGGUCUUCUUCCGACGACAGCCGUUACACUUACAGUGAUUUCGGAAAGUAUUCAGACCCCUUG